Molecule: ribosomal RNA, 497 nt
Filed under: uncultured bacterium
Lineage: Bacteria
Description: partial 16S ribosomal RNA
Rfam family: Bacterial small subunit ribosomal RNA
Source: RNAcentral
GAUGAACGCUGGCGGCGUGCUUAAUACAUGCAAGUAGAACGCUGAAGGAAGGAGCUUGCUCUUUCCGGAUGAGUUGCGAACGGGUGAGUAACGCGUAGGUAACCUGCCUGGUAGCGGGGGAUAACUAUUGGAAACGAUAGCUAAUACCGCAUAACAGUAGAUGUUGCAUGAUAUCUACUUAAAAGGUGCAAUUGCACCACUACCAGAUGGACCUGCGUUGUAUUAGCUAGUUGGUGAGGUAACGGCUCACCAAGGCGACGAUACAUAGCCGACCGGAGAGGGUGGGUGGCCACCCUGGGAGGGAGACACGGCCCAGACGCAUACGGGAGGCAGCAGGAGGGAAUCGUCGGCAAUGGGCGGAAGUCUGACCGAGCAACGCCGCGGGAGUGAAGAAGGUUGUCGGAUCGUAAAGCUCGGUUGUAAGAGAAGAACGAGUGUGAGAGUGGAAAGUUCACACUGUGACGGUAUCUUACCAGAAAGCGACGGCUAACUACGUG